RNAcentral lists this transfer RNA (75 nucleotides) under Sphaerodactylus townsendi. Its description in RNAcentral is "tRNA-Ala". Lineage: Eukaryota; Metazoa; Chordata; Lepidosauria; Squamata; Sphaerodactylidae. The record is from RNAcentral.
GGAUGGGGUGUGGCUCAGUGAUAGAGCAUUUGGUUUGCAUGAAGAAGUUCCCAGGUCCAAUUCCUAGCAUAUCCA